This 594-nucleotide long non-coding RNA is filed under the name Astyanax mexicanus (Mexican tetra). RNAcentral's name for it is "lncRNA (ENSAMXG00005008185.1)". The record is from RNAcentral. Lineage: Eukaryota; Metazoa; Chordata; Actinopteri; Characiformes; Acestrorhamphidae.
AUAUGAUAUGAUAUUGCUUUGAUGGACCUUGUUUGAGCAAAAAUGUAAUCAAUCAUGUUUGUUUUUUUAAUGGUAAUACUAACUGAUUUAUGUAAUUUUCCAUUAAUCAGCUGAUUUGGUUAAUAUUUACUAUCAUGGUAACACUGCCAACUUUCUCUCUACUGCUUUAAAGACAAAUGCAAGCAAGAAUAAAAUUCAGUGAUGCAACUUUUAGUCCAUGUUGUCAAUUGUUGACUAAUUGUUGCAGCCCUAAACCAAACCCACAAGUUUGUUUCUCUGCUAGUUUCUGGGUAUUUUGUUUGACUUAUUGGUUCCUGUCUUGUUUCAUCCGGUGUCUGAUGUAUCCAGCGGCUCGUAUUCUUUCGGGGGGAAACAAGGCAACCUUGGCUGAGGAAGGUGGUUCAGGCUGUUGCCCUGACAGUCAUGUGAAGGGGAAUCUGUGGUAAUGGAUGGAAAAGGAUAAAGGUUACACUGCAGUCCAUGUUUCUUCAGCAUCCCAUAACUAUGCAAAUAUCAGUCUGUGCAAGAGUCUACAGUAUUUGUUGUGAACACCAUAUUGCUCCUUCUGGUCCUCAUAAAAAAAAUAAAGAUGAA